Sardina pilchardus (European sardine) is the source of this 1712-nucleotide long non-coding RNA. RefSeq lists it as uncharacterized. The record is from RefSeq and is a predicted model, not a curated record. The transcript has 3 exons. Lineage: Eukaryota; Metazoa; Chordata; Actinopteri; Clupeiformes; Clupeidae.
ACACUUUGUCUGUUUUCCUCAGGUCUCUGUUUCAGACGGACCUGCUCAAGAGGUCAACACCAACACCAGCUGAGGCAAUUACUGUAAAAAGGAGAACAUCAGAGCUGCCGAACUGAGGAAGAAGAGUCAGAUGGAGGACCAGGAUGAAGCUGGAGAAGAUCCACAAAGCUGAGCUGAAGGAAAAGAAAAGGAGGGAAGCUCAGGAGAAAAAAGAGGAGAGGGGCCAGACCAGACAGUCCAUAUUUUGUUUCUGUUUCAGGAAAUCUUCCUGAUCAAAGGACAUAGCAUUGAUGAUGAAUAAACAAUCAACUAAUAAUUCGUCAGUGAGUCCAGCUGUUUGUUGUGCUUGUUUGUUCCAUCCAGAUAUAGAUAGGCCUAGACCUGUCUCCAAAGCAAUAGCCAUAAUAAGACCACAGUGGAGGCGAGCAAAAGAGGAGAGGGACAAGACCACACAGCCCAAAUGUUGUUUCUGCUUCAGGAAUUCUAACCAAUAUAUACUUUUAUAUUAUACAGAGAGCACGCAUUGAGAGCCACUCUCGAGAACCUUGUGCAGUUCCUUGCCAAGAAGGAGCAAUCGGCCGAGGCAUGGCAUGGAGAGAGCAAGGACUGAGGCAGCGGUACAGGCCGACCUCCGCAAAAUAGAGGAGAACAUUCGUUUGGACCACCACGUCAUACUCAAACGUAGAGCGACAAUGCUGACAGCGAUGGAGAGACAGAAACUCUUAGCCCUACCUCUGGCUAAAAAGAACACCAGAGGAUAGUCUCUCUCCUGGAGCAGGAAUUUGAUUAUGACUAUGACAACAUUCUGCUGAAUGAUCCAGAGCGCGCUAAGAGGGAGUUUGAGAACUGGAUCAGAUGGACCCAAGAGAGCGUAGACAGCACCCUGUCAAUGGCGCUGACUGCUGCCACCAUCAAGCAGCAGUGGCUACAAAAAGGACUGAGGCAGCGGUGCAGGCCGACCUCCGCAAAAUAGAGGAGAACAUUCGUUUGGACCACCACGUCAUACUCAACACGUAGAGCGACAGCGCUGACAGCGAUGGAGAGACAGAAACUCUUAGCCCUACCUCUGGCUAAAAAGAGCACCAGAGAAUAGUCUCUCUCCUGGAGCAGGAGUUUGAUUAUGACUAUGACAACAUUCUGCUGAAUGAUCCAGAGCGCGCUAAGAGGGAGUCUGAGAACUGGAUCAGAUGGACCCAAGAGAGCGUCUCUGUUUCAGACGGACCUGCUCAAGAGGUCAACACCAACACCAGCUGAGGCAAUUACUGUAAAAAGGAGAACAUCAGAGCUGCCGAACUGAGGAAGAAGAGUCAGAUGGAGGACCAGGAUGAAGCUGGAGAAGAUCCACAAAGCUGAGCUGAAGGAAAAGAAAAGGAGGGAAGCUCAGGAGAAAAAAGAGGAGAGGGGCCAGACCAGACAGUCCAUAUUUUGUUUCUGUUUCAGGAAAUCUUCCUGAUCAAAGGACAUAGCAUUGAUGAUGAAUAAACAAUCAACUAAUAAUUCGUCAAGAGCACGCAUUGAGAGCCACUCUCGAGAACCUUGUGCAGUUCCUUGCCAAGAAGGAGCAAUCGGCCGAGGCAUGGCAUGGAGAGAGCAAGGACUGAGGCAGCGGUACAGGCCGACCUCCGCAAAAUAGAGGAGAACAUUCGUUUGGACCACCACGUCAUACUCAAACGUAGAGCGACAAUGCUGACAGCGAUGGAGAGACAGAAACU